UACGUAGGGGGCAAGCGUUGUCCGGAAUCAUUGGGCGUAAAGCGCGUGUAGGCGGCUCGGUAAGUCUGCUGUGAAAGUCCAGGGCUCAACCCUGGGAUGCCGGUGGAUACUGUCGAGCUCGAGUCCGGAAGAGGCGAGUGGAAUUCCUGGCGUAGCGGUGAAAUGCGCAGAUAUCAGGAGGAACACCAAUGGCGAAGGCAGCUCGCUGGGACGUGACUGACGCUGAGACGCGAAAGCGUGGGGAGCAAACAGG
RNAcentral lists this ribosomal RNA (253 nucleotides) under uncultured bacterium. RNAcentral's name for it is "partial 16S ribosomal RNA". It matches the Rfam family "Bacterial small subunit ribosomal RNA", at positions 524 to 776 of the family's 1533-position model. The record is from RNAcentral.